Molecule: long non-coding RNA, 1931 nt
Organism: Numida meleagris (helmeted guineafowl)
Lineage: Eukaryota; Metazoa; Chordata; Aves; Galliformes; Numididae
Source: Ensembl
GCGGUGACGGUGACAACAGCCCCACGAUGACCCCGAGGGACAACACCCGGCGCUUCGCGUCACCCGCGCCGAUGUCACCCUUCGAGCGUCACCCAUUUGUCACCCGUUUCAUUGUCACCAUUUUGUCACCCCUUCAGUGUCACCCUACUACCAUCACCCGCUUGUCACCCUUUCGGUGUCACCAUUUUGUCACCCGUUUCGCGACCACCAUUUUGUCACCCUUUUGGUGUCACCAUUUUACUGUCACCCAUUUGUCACCAUUUUGUCACCCCUUCCAUGUCACCCUCCUACUGUCACCCGCUUGUCACCCCUUCGGUGUCACCAUUUUCCUGUCACCCUUUCGGUGUCACCAUUUUGUCACCCGUUUCGCGACCACCAUUUUGUCACCCUUUUGGUGUCACCAUUUUGUCACCCUUUCCGUGUCACCCUUUCGGUGUCACCCAAUUGUCACCAUUUUGUCACCCCUUCCAUGUCACCCUCCUACCGUCACCCGCUUGUCACCCUUUCAGUGGCACCCUUUUCCUGUCACCCAUUUCAGUGUUACCCUCUUGGUGUCACCAUUUUGUCACCUUUUCCAUGUCACCCUUCUACCGUUACCCGCUUGUCACCCUUUCGGUGUCACCCUUUUCCUGUCACCCGUUUCAGUGUCACCCUUUUGUCACCCUUUCGGUGUCACCAUUUUGUCACCCGUUUCGCGACCACCAUUUUGUCACCCGUUUCGCAACCACCAUUUUGUCACCCUUUUGUCACCUUUUUGGUGUCACCAUUUUACUGUCACCCAUUUGUCACCAUUUUGUCACCCUUUCCGUGUCACCCUUCUACCGACACCCGCUUGUCAUCUUUUUGGUGUCACCGUUUUCCUGUCACCCAUUUCAGUGUCACCAUUUUGUCACCCCUUCAGUGUCACCCUUCUACCGUCACCCGCUUGUCACCCUUUCGGUGUCACCAUUUUGUCACCCGUUUCGCGACCACCAUUUUGUCACCAUUUUGGUGUCACCAUUUUGUCACCCUUUCCGUGUCACCCUUUCAGUGUCACCCAUUUGUCACCAUUUUGUCACCCCUUCCAUGUCACCCUUCUACCGUUACCCGCUUGUCACCCUUUCGGUGGCACCCUUUUCCUGUCACCCGUUUCAGUGUCACCAUUUUGUCACCCCUUCAGUGUCACCCUUCUACUGUCACCCGCUUGUCACCCUUUCGGUGUCACCAUUUUGUCACCCGUUUCGCGACCACCAUUUUGUCACCCUUUUGGUGUCACCAUUUUGUCAACGCUUCAGUGUCACCAUUUUACUGUCACCCAUUUGUCACCAUUUUGUCACUCCUUCAAUGUCACCCUUCUACCAUCACCCGCUUGUCACCCUUUCGGUGUCACUGUUUUCCUGUCACCUAUUUCAGUGUCACCCUUUUGUCACCCCUUCCGUGUCACCAUUUUACUGUCACCCAUUUGUCACCAUUUUGUCACCCCUUCAGUGUCACCCUUUCAUUGUCACCGUUUCGGUGUCACCAUUUUGUCACCCAUCCGUGUCACUAUUCUACCAUCACCCAUUUGUCACCCACUUUGGUGUCACCAUUUUGUCACCCUUUCACUGUCACCAUUUCGGUGUCACCCACUUGUCACCAUUUUGUCACCCCUUCAGUGUCACCCACUUGUCACCAUUUUGUCACCCGUUCGUGUCACCCUUUCACUGUCACCGUUUCGGUGUCACCCAUUUGUCACCAUUUUGUCACCGUCCCGUUGUCCCUCGCCGCCACCUGUGGAAGCCACACCCGGAGCUCAGCCAUCACCCCAAAUCCCCCAUUUCUCACCCCAAAAACGGUGUCCCCAUGUCGGAGCGGCACCCGGAGGACGGCGGUGUCACCUCUGUCCCCUCCACGGGGCCGUCCCCGUGUCCCUCUCCCUCCGGUUCUUACGUGGGGGGGCACCGGUGGCCACC